AUUGAACGCUGGCGGCAGGCUUAACACAUGCAAGUCGAGCGGGGUGAUGGUGCUUGCACUAUCACUUAGCGGCGGACGGGUGAGUAAUGCUUGGGAAUCUGCCUAUUAGUGGGGGACAACAUCUCGAAAGGGAUGCUAAUACCGCAUACGUCCUACGGGAGAAAGCGGGGGAUCACUUGUGACCUUGCGCUAAUAGAUGAGCCUAAGUCGGAUUAGCUAGUUGGUGGGGUAAAGGCCUACCAAGGCGACGAUCUGUAGCGGGUCUGAGAGGAUGAUCCACCACACUGGGACUGGGACACGGCCCAGAAUCCUACGGGAGGCAGCAGUGGGGAAUAUUGGACAAUGGGGGGAACCCUGAUCCAGCCAUGCCGCGUGUGUGAAGAAGGCCUUAUGGUUGUAAAGCACUUUAAGCGAGGAGGAGGCUCUUUUGGUUAAUACCCAAGAUGAGUGGACGUUACUCGCAGAAUAAGCACCGGCUAACUCUGUGCCAGCCGCCGCCGUAA
This 503-nucleotide ribosomal RNA is filed under the name uncultured bacterium. RNAcentral's name for it is "partial 16S ribosomal RNA". It matches the Rfam family "Bacterial small subunit ribosomal RNA", at positions 30 to 523 of the family's 1533-position model. The record is from RNAcentral.